RNAcentral lists this microRNA precursor (202 nucleotides) under Oryza glumipatula. RNAcentral describes it as "MIR812 microRNA precursor family". It matches the Rfam family "MIR812 microRNA precursor family". The record is from Rfam by way of RNAcentral. Lineage: Eukaryota; Viridiplantae; Streptophyta; Magnoliopsida; Poales; Poaceae.
UUUAAGUAUAGUUAUGGAUUUUCGUGUCAAAUGUUUGAUCGUCUGUUUUAUUAAAAACAAUUAAUAUUAAUAUUUUUUUUAUUGUUAGAUGAUAAAACAAUGAAUAAUUUCUUAUGCGUGACUUUUUUUUAUUUUAUUUAUAAAUUAUUUAAGUUAGACCGACGGUUAAACGUUGGGACGAGUAUUAUAUACUCCAUGUAUA